UGAAACCACAGCCACGUGCACAGACAGA
RNAcentral lists this non-coding RNA (28 nucleotides) under Rattus norvegicus (Norway rat). Lineage: Eukaryota; Metazoa; Chordata; Mammalia; Rodentia; Muridae. The record is from RNAcentral.